GGGGGUGCACCGAAUUCGACUGUGUAAAAAAGGAACGAUAUAAGCAUAUCGCAGGGCCGCGGCUGCGUUAAAACGCGGGCAAAUUCAAAUGCUAAAAAUGAAAACAACACGGUAAGAUAUAACAAUAAUCUUGCUUUCGCUGCUUAAUUAACGCGGCGGUGUCGCUACGCUUUUUCCCGUCGGAAGCGAUAGCGGCAUAAUUUCAGACGGGGAACGCCCUAAACGGCGCGGUUCUACCGUUUCGGGGGCUUUUUUGAACCGACGUUAUCCUGUAGCCCGUAUCCGGGCAGCGGAUAAAAGAGAUUAAACGGAUACUAAGUAUGUAGAAGGUCGUUUUGUUUUUAUGCAACACAGGAGUUUGACUCUCCUCACCUCCACCA
This is a non-coding RNA of Acidiphilium sp. CAG:727, 380 nucleotides long. NCBI's taxonomy places the organism in Bacteria, Pseudomonadati, Pseudomonadota, Alphaproteobacteria, Acetobacterales, Acidocellaceae. The record is from Rfam.